Molecule: ribosomal RNA, 255 nt
Filed under: uncultured bacterium
Lineage: Bacteria
Description: partial 16S ribosomal RNA
Rfam family: Bacterial small subunit ribosomal RNA
Source: RNAcentral
UACGAAGGGGGCUAGCGUUGCUCGGAAUUACUGGGCGUAAAGCGCACGUAGGCGGCUUUCUAAGUCGGGGGGUGAAAUCCUGGAGCUCAACUCCAGAACUGCCUUCGAUACUGGAGCUUGAGUCCGGGAGAUGGUGAGUGGAACUGCGAGUGUAGAGGUGAAAUUCGUAGAUAUUCGCAAGAACACCAGUGGCGAAGGCGGCUCACUGGCCCGGUACUGACGCUGAGGUGCGAAAGCGUGGGGGAGCAAACAGGG